RNAcentral lists this ribosomal RNA (497 nucleotides) under uncultured bacterium. Its description in RNAcentral is "partial 16S ribosomal RNA". It matches the Rfam family "Bacterial small subunit ribosomal RNA", at positions 28 to 507 of the family's 1533-position model. The record is from RNAcentral.
GAUGAACGCUGGCGGCGUGCCUAAUACAUGCAAGUCGAGCGAACGGACGAGAAGCUUGCUUCUCUGAUGUUAGCGGCGGACGGGUGAGUAACACGUGGAUAACCUACCUAUAAGACUGGGAUAACUUCGGGAAACCGGAGCUAAUACCGGAUGAUAUUUUGAACCGCAUGGUUCAAAAGUGAAAGACGGUCUUGCUGUCACUUAUAGAUGGAUCCGCGCUGCAUUAGCUAGUUGGUAAGGUAACGGCUUACCAAGGCAACGAUGCAUAGCCGACCUGAGAGGGUGAUCGGCCACACUGGAACUGAGACACGGUCCAGACUCCUACGGGAGGCAGCAGUAGGAAAUCUUCCGCAAAGGGCGAAAGCCUGACGGAGCAACGCCGCGUGAGUGAUGAAGGUCUUCGGAUCGUAAAACUCUGUUAUUAGGGAAGAACAUAUGUGUAAGUAACUGUGCACAUCUUGACGGUACCUAAUCAGAAAGCCACGGCUAACUACGUG